RNAcentral lists this ribosomal RNA (482 nucleotides) under uncultured bacterium. RNAcentral describes it as "partial 16S ribosomal RNA". It matches the Rfam family "Bacterial small subunit ribosomal RNA", at positions 28 to 523 of the family's 1533-position model. The record is from RNAcentral.
GACGAACGCUGGCGGCGUGCUUAACACAUGCAAGUCGAACGAUGAAGCCCAGCUUGCUGGGUGGAUUAGUGGCGAACGGGUGAGUAACACGUGGGCAACCUGCCCCAAACUCUGGGAUAACUCCUCGAAAGAGGUGCUAAUACCGGAUACGAACUAGACAGACAUCUGUACUAGUUGGAAAGUUUGGCGGUUUGGGAUGGGCCCGCGGCCUAUCAGCUUGUUGGUGAGGUAACGGCUCACCAAGGCUACGACGGGUAACCGGCCUGAGAGGGCGACCGGUCAGACGAGGACUGGGACACGGCCCAUGCUCCUACGGGGGGCAGCAGUGGGGGAUAUUGCGCAAUGGGCGAAAGCCUGACGCAGCGACGCCGCGUGAGGGAUGAAGGUCUUCGGAUCGUAAACCUCUUUCAGUAGGGACGAAGCGAAAGUGACGGUACCUAAAGAAGAAGCACCGGCUAACUACGUGCCAGCAGCCGCGGUAA